This 23-nucleotide microRNA is filed under the name Hordeum vulgare. Its description in RNAcentral is "microRNA1126". Lineage: Eukaryota; Viridiplantae; Streptophyta; Magnoliopsida; Poales; Poaceae. The record is from RNAcentral.
UCAACUAUGGACUACAUACGGAA